RNAcentral lists this ribosomal RNA (382 nucleotides) under uncultured bacterium. RNAcentral describes it as "bacterial SSU rRNA". It matches the Rfam family "Bacterial small subunit ribosomal RNA", at positions 28 to 412 of the family's 1533-position model. The record is from RNAcentral.
GACGAACGCUGGCGGCGUGCUUAACACAUGCAAGUCGAGCGGUAAGGCCCUUUCGGGGGUACACGAGCGGCGAACGGGUGAGUAACACGUGGGUGACCUGCCCUUAGCUCUGGGAUAAGCCUGGGAAACUGGGUCUAAUACCGGAUAUGACUCCAUAACGCAUGUUGUGGGGUGGAAAGCCUUGUGCGGCUAGGGAUGGGCCCGCGGCCUAUCAGCUUGUUGGUGGGGUGAUGGCCACCAAGGCGACGACGGGUAGCCGGCCUGAGAGGGCGACCGGCCACACUGGGGACUGAGACACGGCCCAGACCCCUACGGGAGGCAGCAGUGGGGAAUCUUGCGCAAUGGGCGAAAGCCUGACGCAGCGACGCCGCGUGGGGAUGAC